AUAGCUGCUGGACCAAUCAGUGUUGUUCUCCUGGCUGUCCUAUCCCUCUCUGUCUUCCUGUGGAUCAGAAAGAGGAGGGCUUCCAGGGACUCGUCUGGACCAGACAACAGGGAACAGUGUGUACCUGAUCCGAGUGAGCCAGAGGAGCAGGCUGACCUUCAGUACGCCACCAUCCACGUCUCCAACAGCCAGGCAGAUCCUCUGUACUCCAACAUCAGAGCUGCUCCGCCCCUCAGACACAGGGAGCAACAGGAAGCCGUUGAGUACGCUGCCGUCAGCUUCAACAGUGGCAGUACUGCCCCGAGAACCAGAGGUCGGGACACUGGAGAGGAUCCAGCUGCUUUGUACAGCACAGUCAACAACCCCCGAUGAAAACAGGCAUUGCAUUUAUAGUCUGAUUAUUUUCCCCAAAAAAUGAUUUAAAUUAAUCAGGUAACCAUUGAUUUUUAUACAUUUUAUUUUAAGGAUGACCCUCUCCAAGAAUGUACAAAGAGACAAUUAUAAAUCUUCUAGAAACUUAAACAUAAUCCAGUGUUCAGUUAUUUUACUCUGUAUGAGUCAGCUGUAAAGAAUGAGUUAAGUAUUUCAUGAUUUAAUUUGUUAAAUUGUAUAUAUACUAUAAAAGUGACCUUUUAUGUGCGGUUUGAAUUAGUCUCUAACUGGU
Perca flavescens (yellow perch) is the source of this 664-nucleotide long non-coding RNA. RefSeq lists it as uncharacterized. The transcript is spliced from 4 exons. The record is from RefSeq and is a predicted model, not a curated record. NCBI's taxonomy places the organism in Eukaryota, Metazoa, Chordata, Actinopteri, Perciformes, Percidae.